Mycena leptocephala is the source of this 95-nucleotide non-coding RNA. The record is from the annotation of a GenBank genome assembly. NCBI's taxonomy places the organism in Eukaryota, Fungi, Basidiomycota, Agaricomycetes, Agaricales, Mycenaceae.
GGCUCGGUGGCGCAUGGAACGCUUCUGCUGUCAAUGUUGAUGGCUUGCAUAAAUAUUGAAUGCAGAAAGACCCCGUUCAAAUCGGGGCCGAGCCA